UGGGGAAUAUUGCGCAAUGGGCGAAAGCCUGACGCAGCGACGCCGCGUGGAGGAUGAAGGUCUUAGGAUUGUAAACUCCUGUCAGAUGGAAAGAAAAAGUUACGUUUAAUAGACGUAAAAUAUGACGGUACCAUCAGAGGAAGCACCGGCUAACUUCGUGCCAGCAGCCGCGGUAAUACGAAGGGUGCAAACGUUAUUCGGAAUCACUGGGCGUAAAGGGUGCGUAGACGGUAUGUUAAGUUCGUUGUUAAAGGCUCCGGCCUAACUGGAGUAUUGCGAUGAAAACUGGCAUGCUAGAGGAUGAGAGAGAGAAGUGGAAUUCCUGGAGUAGCGGUAAAAUGCGUGGAUCUCAGGAGGAACACCAAUGGCGAAGGCAGCUUCUUGGCUCAUUCCUGACGUUGAGGCACGAAAGCGUGGGGAGCAAACAGGAUUAGAUACCCCGGUAGUCC
RNAcentral lists this ribosomal RNA (449 nucleotides) under uncultured bacterium. RNAcentral's name for it is "bacterial SSU rRNA". It matches the Rfam family "Bacterial small subunit ribosomal RNA", at positions 355 to 796 of the family's 1533-position model. The record is from RNAcentral.